AUUGAACGCUGGCGGCAGGCCUAACACAUGCCAGUCGAACGGUAACAGGAAGAAGCUUGCUUCUUUGCUGACGAGUGGCGGACGGGUGAGUAAUGUCUGGGAAACUGCCUGAUGGAGGGGGAUAACUACUGGAAACGGUAGCUAAUACCGCAUAACGUCGCAAGACCAAAGAGGGGGACCUUCGGGCCUCUUGCCAUCGGAUGUGCCCAGAUGGGAUUAGCUAGUAGGUGGGGUAACGGCUCACCUAGGCGACGAUCCCUAGCUGGUCUGAGAGGAUGACCAGCCACACUGGAACUGAGACACGGUCCAGACUCCUACGGGAGGCAGCAGUGGGGAAUAUUGCACAAUGGGCGCAAGCCUGAUGCAGCCAUGCCGCGUGUAUGAAGAAGGCCUUCGGGUUGUAAAGUACUUUCAGCGGGGAGGAAGGGAGUAAAGUUAAUACCUUUGCUCAUUGACGUUACCCGCAGAAGAAGCACCGGCUAACUCCGU
Molecule: ribosomal RNA, 489 nt
Filed under: uncultured bacterium
Lineage: Bacteria
Description: partial 16S ribosomal RNA
Rfam family: Bacterial small subunit ribosomal RNA
Source: RNAcentral